Acanthaster planci (crown-of-thorns starfish) is the source of this 889-nucleotide long non-coding RNA. RefSeq lists it as uncharacterized. NCBI's taxonomy places the organism in Eukaryota, Metazoa, Echinodermata, Asteroidea, Valvatida, Acanthasteridae. The record is from RefSeq and is a predicted model, not a curated record.
UUUCGAAGACAAUCACAUCUUUCACCUAGAAUGCCCAGUGCGCAGCCUGCGCUAGCGAACAGGUGAUUGCGUGAAUGAGUAGCGUAUAGUAGCGUGGAUCGCUGGGAUACGCCAUGCUAUGCUAACCAGAAUAGGGGAUGGAGUCGCGAAGACAGGUUGAGCGUCAGAGAUGUGGCUAUCACAAGAAAUGGAGACCUGACGGUGUCGUGUUCCCAAACAUUUGUGCACAGAACCACGUCUUCCCUAGAUAACUUCGCAGCAACAGCACCCUCAGAUGUCCGGGAAAGUAUGGAUAAUUUUAAUUGUUGAAAAGCAUACACUUUUCAAUGCAUUCAACCAACUAGAAAAGUAAAUGAGUUGUCAUACAUUGAAGUAGAAUGGAAAGUUGAAGAAAAAUUAUGUCUUAGAAAACAUAAUAUCAACUUUACUAGAAAUGGUUUGGGAUUAUUCAUCCUCAGUUUUUGUAAAGCUCAGUUCUUUAUGUAUUGAUGACCAGGGUCUUUAUGUCAUGAUGUCUCCAAGUCUCGAAGUUCUGACGUCUUGGUGUCUUGAGGUCCUGGUCUAUUUAUAUUCUAAAUCUUGAUGUCUUGUUGUCCUUGUGAUUUGAUGUCUUGAUGUCCUGAUCGUCUUGAUGUCUUGAUCGUCUUGAUGUCUUGAUGUCUUGACGUCCUAGUGUCCUGAUGUCCUGAUAUCCUGAUGUCUUGAUGUCAUGAUGUCUUGGUGUCUUGAUAUCUCGAUGUCCUGAUGUCUUGGUAUCCUGAUGUUUGGAUGUCUUUAUGUCUGGAUAGCCCGAUGUCUGGGGAAAUUGGGUGAUGAGAUCGGUUGGAUGAGACUGGUUGGAGUUCUUCCUCCUUAGUCACUUCCUUCCUCUGACUUUUUCCCCUGAUGU